CAGGAAGGAGGACUGACACAGCAGACACGGUGGAGGACACUGGGCUGUGGCUCCAAACAGGAAUGCUCUGACAGCCGGUGAGCAGGGCAGCUGCGGUGACCCGAGAUGAGAUGUUGUCCACCGGGGAGUGACGUGUGAGCCAUGAAUGCAGUGGCAUGCUCUGAGAUCCACAACAGCAGCUCAGAGGACAGGCAGAAUCCUGGACACCUGCAGAGUUCUGCACAGGGUCAUGGAGCCACUGGACAGCUGACGGGGACGAAAAACCACAUAUUAAAGAAACAGCCUCCAUCGGCACAA
Long non-coding RNA from Hippoglossus stenolepis (Pacific halibut), 297 nucleotides. RefSeq lists it as uncharacterized. NCBI's taxonomy places the organism in Eukaryota, Metazoa, Chordata, Actinopteri, Pleuronectiformes, Pleuronectidae. The transcript has 3 exons. The record is from RefSeq and is a predicted model, not a curated record.